UACGUAGGGUGCAAGCGUUAAUCGGAAUUACUGGGCGUAAAGCGUGCGCAGGCGGUUUUGUAAGUCUGUCGUGAAAGCCCCGGGCUCAACCUGGGAAUUGCGAUGGAGACUGCAAGGCUUGAAUCUGGCAGAGGGGGGUAGAAUUCCACGUGUAGCAGUGAAAUGCGUAGAGAUGUAGAGGAACACCGAUGGCGAAGGCAGCCCCCUGGGUCAAGAUUGACGCUCAUGCACGAAAGCGUGGGGAGCAAACAGG
RNAcentral lists this ribosomal RNA (253 nucleotides) under uncultured bacterium. RNAcentral's name for it is "partial 16S ribosomal RNA". It matches the Rfam family "Bacterial small subunit ribosomal RNA", at positions 524 to 776 of the family's 1533-position model. The record is from RNAcentral.